GAUGAACGCUAGCGGGAGGCUUAAUACAUGCAAGUCGAGGGGUAACAUUAGUGCUUGCACUAGAUGACGACCGGCGCACGGGUGAGUAACGCGUACACAACCUACCUACGAGAGAGGGAUAGCCUUGGGAAACUGAGAGUAAUACCUCAUAAUAUUAUUUUGAUGAUUUUAGAAUAAUUAAAACUCUGGUGCUUGUAGAUGGGUGUGCGUUCCAUUAGCUAGUUGGUACGGUAACGGCGUACCAAGGCGACGAUGGGUAGGGGGCGUGAGAGCGUGAUCCCCCACACGGGUACUGAGACACGGACCCGACUCCUACGGGAGGCAGCAGUAAGGAAUAUUGGACAAUGGGGGCAACCCUGAUCCAGCCAUCCCGCGUGUAGGAAGACGGCCCUAUGGGUUGUAAACUACUUUUACUAGGGAAGAAUGUGUGGCAUUUAUGUCAUUUUGACGGUACCUAGAGAAUAAGCACCGGCUAACUCCG
RNAcentral lists this ribosomal RNA (481 nucleotides) under uncultured Saprospiraceae bacterium. RNAcentral describes it as "bacterial SSU rRNA". It matches the Rfam family "Bacterial small subunit ribosomal RNA", at positions 28 to 505 of the family's 1533-position model. The record is from RNAcentral. Lineage: Bacteria; Pseudomonadati; Bacteroidota; Saprospiria; Saprospirales; Saprospiraceae.